This 546-nucleotide ribosomal RNA is filed under the name Protoparmelia hypotremella. RNAcentral's name for it is "eukaryotic LSU rRNA". It matches the Rfam family "Eukaryotic large subunit ribosomal RNA", at positions 319 to 884 of the family's 3401-position model. Lineage: Eukaryota; Fungi; Ascomycota; Lecanoromycetes; Lecanorales; Parmeliaceae. The record is from RNAcentral.
AAUACUGGCUGGAGACCGAUAGCGCACAAGUAGAGUGAUCGAAAGAUGAAAAGCACUUUGGAAAGAGAGUCAAAAAGUACGUGAAAUUGUUGAAAGGGAAGCGCUUGCAACCAGACCUGUCCGUAGGUGAUCAGCCGCCGUUCUCGGUGGUGCACUCGCCUGCGAUCAGGCCAGCAUCGGUUCGGGCGGUCGGAUAAAGGCCCUGGGAAUGUAGCUCCUCUCGGGGAGUCUUAUAGCCCUCGGUGCAAUGCGGCCAGCCCGGACCGAGGACCGCGCUUCGGCUAGGAUGCUGGCGUAAUGGUUGUAAGCGACCCGUCUUGAAACACGGACCAAGGAGUCUAACAUCUAUGCGAGUGUUUGGGUGUUAAACCCAUACGCGGAAUGAAAGUGAACGGAGGUGAGAACCCUUUAGGGCGCAUCAUCGACCGAUCCAGAUGUCUUCGGAUGGAUUUGAGUAUGAGCAUAGCUGUUGGGACCCGAAAAGAUGGUGAACUAUGCCUGAAUAGGGUGAAGCCAGAGGAAACUCUGGUGGAGGCUCGCAGCGGU